UUUUUUUUCAUUUUUUUUU
This 19-nucleotide small RNA is filed under the name Arabidopsis thaliana (thale cress). RNAcentral's name for it is "ATSL302940". Lineage: Eukaryota; Viridiplantae; Streptophyta; Magnoliopsida; Brassicales; Brassicaceae. The record is from RNAcentral.